UCGAUUGCGAACGGUUGCCUUCAGUGCUGGCCCGCUCGGGCAAGUGCACGUCGGUGACUUUCAUCCAAUACCCUGUGCACCAUUGGCCUCUGCUAGCUUUGGCCGGCAGAGGAAUUUUACACCUACUCGAAUGUAAUGAAAUUUAUUGUCGUGCGCAAGCACUAAUGUA
RNAcentral lists this unclassified non-coding RNA (169 nucleotides) under uncultured Sebacina. Its description in RNAcentral is "sequence contains ITS1". The record is from RNAcentral. Lineage: Eukaryota; Fungi; Basidiomycota; Agaricomycetes; Sebacinales; Sebacinaceae.